UACGAAGGGUGCAAGCGUUACUCGGAAUUACUGGGCGUAAAGCGUGCGUAGGUGGUUUGUUAAGUCUGUUGUGAAAGCCCCGGGCUCAACCUGGGAAUGGCAAUGGAUACUGGCAAGCUAGAGUGCGGUAGAGGGUAGUGGAAUUCCCGGUGUAGCGGUGAAAUUCGUAGAUAUUGGGAAGAACACCGGUGGCGAAGGCGGCUCACUGGCUCGUAACUGACGCUCAGGCGCGACAGCGUGGGGAUCAAACAGG
This 253-nucleotide ribosomal RNA is filed under the name uncultured bacterium. RNAcentral describes it as "partial 16S ribosomal RNA". It matches the Rfam family "Bacterial small subunit ribosomal RNA", at positions 524 to 776 of the family's 1533-position model. The record is from RNAcentral.